This 72-nucleotide transfer RNA is filed under the name Ovis aries (sheep). It matches the Rfam family "tRNA". From Rfam's summary of the family: Transfer RNA (tRNA) molecules are approximately 80 nucleotides in length. Their secondary structure includes four short double-helical elements and three loops (D, anti-codon, and T loops). Lineage: Eukaryota; Metazoa; Chordata; Mammalia; Artiodactyla; Bovidae. The record is from Rfam by way of RNAcentral.
UCCCUGGUGGCUCAGCGGUUAAAGCAUCUGCCUCCAAUGCGGGAGACCCGGGUUCGAUCCCUGGGUUGGGAA